This 254-nucleotide ribosomal RNA is filed under the name uncultured bacterium. Its description in RNAcentral is "partial 16S ribosomal RNA". It matches the Rfam family "Bacterial small subunit ribosomal RNA", at positions 524 to 776 of the family's 1533-position model. The record is from RNAcentral.
UACGUAGGGGGCAAGCGUUAUCCGGAUUUACUGGGUGUAAAGGGAGCGUAGGUGGCAUGGUAAGCCAGAAGUGAAAACCCGGGGCUCAACCCCGCGGAUUGCUUUUGGAACUAUCAGGCUGGAGUGCUGGAGGGGUAAGCGGAAUUCCUAGUGUAGCGGUGAAAUGCGUAGAUAUUAGGAGGAACACCGGUGGCGAAGGCGGCUUACUGGACAGAAACUGACACUGAGGUUCGAAAGCGUGGGGAGCAAACAGG